This 465-nucleotide ribosomal RNA is filed under the name uncultured bacterium. RNAcentral describes it as "partial 16S ribosomal RNA". It matches the Rfam family "Bacterial small subunit ribosomal RNA", at positions 338 to 795 of the family's 1533-position model. The record is from RNAcentral.
CCUACGGGUGGCAGCAGUGGGGAAUAUUGCGCAAUGGGCGAAAGCCUGACGCAGCGACGCCGCGUGAGGGAUGAAGGUCUUCGGAUUGUAAACCUCUGUCAGCAGGGAAGAACGGUCAACGUGCUAAUCAGCAGUGAAUUGACGGUACCUGCAAAGGAAGCACCGGCUAACUCCGUGCCAGCAGCCGCGGUAAUACGGAGGGUGCGAGCGUUAAUCGGAAUUACUGGGCGUAAAGCGCUCGUAGGCGGUAUGUCAAGUCAAGGGUGAAAUCCCCGCGCUCAACGUGGGAACUGCCUUUGAAACUGGCAGACUGGAGUGUGUGAGAGGAUAGUGGAAUUCCAGGUGUAGGAGUGAAAUCCGUAGAUAUCUGGAGGAACAUCAGUGGCGAAGGCGACUAUCUGGCACAUAACUGACGCUGAGGAGCGAAAGCGUGGGUAGCAAACAGGAUUAGAUACCCUAGUAGUC